RNAcentral lists this ribosomal RNA (465 nucleotides) under uncultured bacterium. RNAcentral's name for it is "partial 16S ribosomal RNA". It matches the Rfam family "Bacterial small subunit ribosomal RNA", at positions 28 to 506 of the family's 1533-position model. The record is from RNAcentral.
GACGAACGCUGGCGGCGUGCUUAACACAUGCAAGUCGUGCGGUAAGGCCCUUUCGGGGGUACACGAGCGGCGAACGGGUGAGUAACACGUGAGCAACCUGCCCUUCACUUUGGGAUAACUGCCGGAAACGGUGGCUAAUACCGGAUAUGACUUCCUCACGCAUGUGGGGUGGUGGAAAGCCUUCGGAUGGUGGGGGAUGGGCUCGCGGUCUAUCAGCUUGUUGGUGGGGUGAUGGCCUACCAAGGCUUCGACGGGUAGCCGGCCUGAGAGGGUGACCGGCCACACUGGGACUGAGACACGGCCCAGACUCCUACGGGAGGCAGCAGUGGGGAAUAUUGGACAAUGGGCGAAAGCCUGAUCCAGCAACGCCGCGUGAGGGAUGACGGCCUUCGGGUGGUAAACCUCUUUCGCCUGCGACGAAGCGAGAGUGACGGUAGCAGGUAAAGAAGCACCGGCCAACUACGU